Molecule: ribosomal RNA, 785 nt
Filed under: Staphylococcus haemolyticus
Lineage: Bacteria; Bacillati; Bacillota; Bacilli; Caryophanales; Staphylococcaceae
Description: bacterial SSU rRNA
Rfam family: Bacterial small subunit ribosomal RNA
Source: RNAcentral
AAGGNAGCUUGCUCCUUUGACGUUAGCGGCGGACGGGUGAGUAACACGUGGGUAACCUACCUAUAAGACUGGGAUAACUUCGGGAAACCGGAGCUAAUACCGGAUAAUAUUUCGAACCGCAUGGUUCGAUAGUGAAAGAUGGUUUUGCUAUCACUUAUAGAUGGACCCGCGCCGUAUUAGCUAGUUGGUAAGGUAACGGCUUACCAAGGCGACGAUACGUAGCCGACCUGAGAGGGUGAUCGGCCACACUGGAACUGAGACACGGUCCAGACUCCUACGGGAGGCAGCAGUAGGGAAUCUUCCGCAAUGGGCGAAAGCCUGACGGAGCAACGCCGCGUGAGUGAUGAAGGUCUUCGGAUCGUAAAACUCUGUUAUUAGGGAAGAACAUACGUGUAAGUAACUAUGCACGUCUUGACGGUACCUAAUCAGAAAGCCACGGCUAACUACGUGCCAGCAGCCGCGGUAAUACGUAGGUGGCAAGCGUUAUCCGGAAUUAUUGGGCGUAAAGCGCGCGUAGGCGGUUUUUUAAGUCUGAUGUGAAAGCCCACGGCUCAACCGUGGAGGGUCAUUGGAAACUGUAAAACUUGAGUGCAGAAGAGGAAAGUGGAAUUCCAUGUGUAGCGGUGAAAUGCGCAGAGAUAUGGAGGAACACCAGUGGCGAAGGCGACUUUCUGGUCUGUAACUGACGCUGAUGUGCGAAAGCGUGGGGAUCAAACAGGAUUAGAUACCCUGGUAGUCCACGCCGUAAACGAUGAGUGCUAAGUGUUAGGGGGUUUCCGCCCCUU